UACGUAGGGUGCAAGCGUUGUCCGGAAUUAUUGGGCGUAAAGAGCUCGUAGGCGGUUCGUCGCGUCGGCUGUGAAAUCCCGAGGCUCAACCUCGGGUCUGCAGUCGAUACGGGCGGACUGGAGUACUGCAGGGGAGACUGGAAUUCCUGGUGUAGCGGUGAAAUGCGUAGAUAUCAGGAGGAACACCGGUGGUGUAGACGGCUCUCUGGACCGUAACUGACGCUGAGGCACGAAAGCGUGGGUAGCAAACAGG
RNAcentral lists this ribosomal RNA (253 nucleotides) under uncultured bacterium. RNAcentral's name for it is "partial 16S ribosomal RNA". It matches the Rfam family "Bacterial small subunit ribosomal RNA", at positions 524 to 776 of the family's 1533-position model. The record is from RNAcentral.